GGGUGACCCAACUUGAUAUACUGACUUAUAAAUAUGACGUACUGGCCUAUAAGGCCAUACCAGUAUCUGUAUACAUGACAUCUAUCUACAAGUCUCUAAGAGUACAUAAAUAUCAUAAAGGUCGAGACAGAGUCCUGCCAUACCAAUCAAUACACAUUUAAAUCAGACUGACCAAAUAGGCAACUCCAAAGCAAGUGGAGUGCACACACACCUUCUGCUGAGCUGAUAGCCUACUAGGAGAACUCUCAACCUAUCAAUCGGGACCUGCGAGCAUGAAACACAACGUCCCCAGGCAAAAAAGGGAUGUCAGCACAAAUAAUGUACCGAGUAUGUAAGGAAUGAAAAUUAAUAAAUAAUAGACAUGAGAAAAACAUGGAGUAAAAGACUCGACAUAUAUGCCUGAAUAACUCUAUGAAUCAUUAAUAUUUACAAUGUCAUGCAUAUGCGUAUAAAUAUCAUACCAUGUUUAGGUAUAUGCGUUCAUAACAUCAUCAAGCCUCUGAAGGCAUCCCAUCAUAUCAUCUCGGCCACUGUGGGCAAAUCAUCAAUGUAUACCAGCUGAUCAAGUGGUGGUGCGUAUAUAACGCCAUAACAUUUUUCCAUAUCCCAUAUACAUAUAAUAUACGCGUAUAUAAUGCCUUCUGGUCAUGGGUCAAUGUACAUGUAUAAAUGCAUGAAAUGCAUAAAAAAUACGUUAAUAAGAUUUCUCGAAUAUCAUAAAAUUAAUAUACCUUUCGGACAAACUUUAUAAAAUACGUAUUUUUCUGAGACCCAUGAAUAGAUGAUAUAAUAAUAAUUCACAUGGGGAAUCAAGAAUGUAGACACCCCUAGUAUUUCUAUAAAUAGAGUCAUUUAUGAAAGUUGUGUAUUUUGCUCGUUUCGUUUGUAUCAUUUGGAUCAUGCUAAAAAGAAAGAGGGGAUAGCCUUAACAUACCUGGAGUAGGAAAAAGUCCGUAUAAUAUUCUUGAGAAAGACUGCAUCGUACUCCCUUAGAAUUGCAAAAUCCAGUUGCUAUUAUAAUAUGGAGUUUCGUAUGAAUUUUCAAAUUCCCUCACCUUCGUUCUUGGCUUUGCCUUUCUGUAUAACUCCCUUACCAAAUGAAUUUGCUGAAGAUGCUAAAAUUCUCACGU
This 1130-nucleotide long non-coding RNA is filed under the name Nicotiana tabacum (common tobacco). RNAcentral describes it as "long non-coding RNA (NTAB_LNC009470)". The record is from RNAcentral. Lineage: Eukaryota; Viridiplantae; Streptophyta; Magnoliopsida; Solanales; Solanaceae.